Long non-coding RNA from Mirounga angustirostris (Northern elephant seal), 13194 nucleotides. RefSeq lists it as uncharacterized. NCBI's taxonomy places the organism in Eukaryota, Metazoa, Chordata, Mammalia, Carnivora, Phocidae. The record is from RefSeq and is a predicted model, not a curated record. The transcript is spliced from 5 exons.
GGUUCUCAAACUGUGUCCCCUCAAGCCCUUGGGCCACUAGGGGGGCAGUGGGGGACGGGAGCAUGGUGUUCCAGCCCCGCCUGUGUUUCAAUCACCCACAGUUAAUCUCUUUCGUUGAGUGCAGUUGGAACUUUGAUUGGAGAGGAGGCUCCGCUGCUGAAGUAAAUAUUUAAAAACCAGAGAACUAAUCUAACCCCACCAUUUCACCAAAAAGGAAACCGAGGCCCAGAAAAGAGAAGUGGCUUGCUUAAGUUCGCUCAGCUCAGUUGCGCCAGGGCUGCUGCCUGGGCUACUCACCCCUGGUCCAGGGACAAAGAGCCUUCACCCUGAGGAGGAAGAGGACAACUGCCAAGUGUGUGUGGAGGGGGAUGUCCCCAUCAAGGUCUGGGCUUCGGUCUCAGCUCACCUGACGAGGUGAGGCCUCGAGGGCCAGGAGCCAUGUUCUCCCAAGGCAGGCAGCUCAGAGACUGAUCUGGGCUGACAGGAGGGCAGAGUCAUCCUCCGCCCUCACCUGCCUGAGCAACGGAGAGCUUUGCGAGUUGUCAGCCCUGGCAAGGCCUCUCCGGCUAACAAUGACCCCAGCCCCUGCUCUCCAGUUUGCUGCCCAGCACCCCAGAAUCACCUCAGAUUCCUCACUGCAGGUAUUGGAGGCAGGCAGGCAGGUACCCCCUGCCCCUUUACAGGUGGGGACACUGAGGCACCGGCAGCAAGCAGGCCUGGCACCACGCCUCCCUGACGCAAACACUGUGCUCUGGUCAUCACUGCCUACUCCUCUGGUAUCUCUCCCUGGCCCCUGUCCGUGCUAGGGACUUGCCCUCCUCCUCACAGAGCAGCUCUGCUUGCCCCUGCCCCCAGCCCCGUGCUGACUGGCCCACGCUUCCCCUCACUCGCUUUAGCAAGGACAACCAAAGUGCUUCUCUGGUCUCUCAGCAGGCCCAGAGCUCUUGGCCUAGCCCUUCUCCUGUGGUGGUAAACAGAACCAUCCCCCAGCUGCAGAGAGAGCACAAGCCAGGAACUUGGUCCUCCCACACUGACUAGGUGGGACUGGGCCAGCAAAUCCCAAUAGGCUCCUCACACCUGCCCCUUCCCUGAGAUAUAUGGCCUACAACUCAGCAUCAGGGUGACCAGGCAGCUCAGGAUUCUCCUGGUUAGCACUGAAAGUCCCAGGCUCCAAGAGAUUCCUCAGACAUGGGCAAGCCAGACAAACUGGUCCCCCUACUCAGCAUACACAAAAGCAAGGUCAUCACUCCUCCCACUUCUCCCCACUGAACAGUGUCUUCUUUCUGGAACUCUAGUCUCUGCUAAGGCUAAUGGAGAGGACCACAGUCAGUCCCUUCAAUCUGUCUAGCCCCCUCAGACUGAGCUGGGGACUACCAUAGGCCCACAGUAGGGUCAGAGGCCUAGAGUCUGCCCUAGGCCCUGUCUACGACCUGUUGGAGGCCUAGUCCUGCCCUAGGCCCUGUGAGAUAAACAGCAGACAGAGCCCGAGAAAGGCCUCGUGGGAUCCUGGGCCUUGAUCCCAAUCCAACUUUAUCCUCAAGCUGGGGGGCACACCACUCUGGAUGACCCCAGGUAGGGCAACCCUAGGGCUGGAGCCAGGCAAGGUCUGCCCGGGGCUCACUGAGGCUGCCUCUAUCUGUCUGACUUCGAGGUGAGUCAUUUCCUCCCUCAGCUGGUUAUGAGGCUGGGAGGGGAAGGGAGGGGGCGGCAUCUAAAAAUAGCAGGGCCUCCACCGCCCGGACACCCAAAGAGCUUCUCCUUGGGCAAGGGAGGAGCCAGCUUGUCCUUGGAGCUGACGCCAGCCGUGGUCCCCAGCCGGUGGCUGCUUUAGGCCCAGGAGCAGGACGGCCCGAGAUCCCCUGGGCUCCCCUUCCCAGGCUCAGCAGAGGGGGCUGAGGUGUGGAGGAGGCAGCCUGAAGCAGGGGCCUGAGAAGUGGACAGGUGGCGUGCCUCCCUCAAGGUCACGGCCAGGAAGGCGUGAACAUGACGUGAAGCCGACAGCCGGGCGUGGGAAAGGAAAACUAAUGGCCAGAUGCCAGAAAGGAUGCGCCACUUGUCCUCACCACCGCCGGAGCUCCCACAGAUGGUACACUUACUGGAUGCCUGCUCCCUCGCCUGACCCCAAGCCUUUGGAGAGAGCCCGAGGCGGUAAUCACCCCCAUUCUGCAGCUGAGGCAUCUGAUGCCCAGAGAGGCCAAGUCAACGGCCCAAAGUCACACAGUAGCAAGUGAAGAGGUUGAUGGCCCAGGUCAGGGCACAGAGUGGGUGCUGGCCUGGUGCAUGCCGGUGAGCCUCCACGGUUGAGUCCACAUGAGAAAACCCCACGGAGCCCACGUGUGUCGUGUGAGACGGAGGGCCCGCUUCCAAGCAGCAGGGAACAGCUGUGUUGGCAGGAGGGGGUGAGAAGGUGUGGGUGAGCACAGCUCUGACAACAGCAAACAGUGCGUGGGAGUGUGUUGAUAGCAGGGCGUGCGAUGGCAGUGCCUUGACCAUGUGUGUUUCUGCUGGCAGAAUGUUCUGGUCUGUGUUGAUAAACAAUUGUUUGGGCAGGCACGAGGCUGGAGCGGGGACAGAAGAGGAGCGCUGGGGGCAGGUGGAGGCGGGGUGGGGGGCAAGGCCAGGGUUGAUGGCGGCCCGGGCCUGAGUUUCCAGAACAAGGGGCAGCAGGCUGGCAGCAGCUGUUUUCCCAGCUGACCUCACUGGGUGCGAAUGGCUGGGUGUGGAUCCCUCUGCAAACCACCUGAUGAUGCCCAUAAACACGAAAACAGGAGCAGGGACACACUGUGAGGAAGAGAGUUCUUCCUGAGCUGCUAGUCGCACGGAUGGAGGUUUAAUCAACAGCUGAAGCCAGCGCAUCGUGAUUGCCGUGACCGAGUGGAUUCCUCAAAAGUCGGCUUCUGGGAAGAGGCGGCACCCCUGAGAACAACCCUGCUCAUGACUGUAAUUGGAGCCCCCGAAUCUCGCCCUCGCCUCCUGGCAGACACAGAGAGAGAGCGAGCACAAGCAGGAGGAGCAGCAGAGGAAGAGGGAGAAGUAGGCUCCCCGCCAAGCAGGGAGCCUGAUGCGGGGCUCCAUCCCAGGACCCUGGGAUCAUGACCUGAGCCGAAGGCAGACGCUUAACCAACUGAGCCACCCAGGUGCCCUGAGAGCAACGGUACAGGUCUAUGAUUCAUCAGUCUUACACAAUACACAGUGCUCACCAUAACACGCACUCAAGUAUUUUAAAUUAAAAUUUCAUGUGUGUUAGAAAAAAAAAAAACUAGCACAUCAAAUCCAGGAUUUUAUAAGCAUUAUUGCUUAGAACAGGGGCAUGUUAAGACAACAACAGCAACAAAACUUACCAUUGUUUCACAGAAAAAAUAUUGAGUAAAUGAUACCCCAGGUAGCAUGAGGCUAGGGUGGAAAUUGUGAAGGUGCCUUGAGAAAUGCCAGCUACGUGGAGCGGGCCACGGCGAACCAAGGAGGCUGGUUCUACAGAGUGGGCAAGAGAGGAGAGAAAGAGAGAGAGAGAGUACAAGCCGGGGGAGCGGCAGAGGAAGAGGGAGAAGCAGGCUUCCCGCUGAGCAAGGAGCCUGAUGCGGGACUCGAUCCCAGGACCCUGAGAUCAUGACCAGAGCCGAAGACAGACAACCGACUGAGCCACCCAGGCGUCCCCAGCAGUGAGCAUUGUCAUGCCUCCUCUUGAGCUGGAGUUUCUCAAGCCCUGGUGUCUGUACACGGGUUCUCUGGAGUCUGAGACAUCUCUAUGAGACUUAAGAUGCCUAUGUUUUCAUUUUGGAAUUAUCUUUAAAAAAUCAGUAUAAACAGAUUCUACAUCAUCUGGAUGCUUGGCUUACAGCCGAUUAUGUGAUCACAAAAUUUUAGUGUCUACAUUUGCACUAAUGUUUAUGGAAAGCAGUCAACUUGAGUUUUGUUUUGUUUUGUUUUUUAAGAUUUUAUUUAUUUGAGAGGGUGAGAGAGAGAGCAGCAGAGGGAGAGGGAGAAGCAGGCUCCCGGCUGAGCAGGGAGCCCAAUGUGGGACUCAAUCCCAGGACCCCAGGAUCAUGACCUGAGCUGAAGGCAGAUGCUUAACCAACUGAGCCACCCAGGCGCCCCUUGAGUUUUGUUUUUUAUUUUUAAUUUAAGUAGACGCUACAUAUGGAAAAAUACACAAACCUUAAGUAUAUAGAUGGAUGAAUUUUCACAAAGAGAACACAUCUGUGAAACCCAACAGGAAACAUAAUAUUAUUACUGCCUCCCUGGAGACCCUCCUCAAGAACUCCUACACCCCUCAGUGAUAACCACUAUUCUUCAUAUCAUAGAUGGGUUUUUCCCAUUUUUGAACUUGAUAUAUAACUGGGCCAUAUAGAAUGACUCUUUGGUCCCUGGCUUCUUUCUCUCAACAUAAUGCCCAUGAGAUUCAUCCAUGCUGUUGGCAUGUUAGCUUCUCAUCCAGUGCUUCUUAAAGUCGGAUCCUCACAAGUCAUUCUUAGGGUUCCAUUAAUCUACCAGCUAGAGGAAAGCAAAUGUGGGGUGCCUGGUGGUUCAGAAAGGAGUUGAAAGCAUCCCACUACAGGGCACACAGUCCUGCCCUGGGCCUUCACUCUACAACCUAGAGCCUGCCACAGUCCCACUCCUGACUCCCAGACUGCAGCUUCCCAGUGCACCCUACUCGUCCAGGCCUCUAGGUCUUUGCAAAUGCUGCUCCCUCUGCCUGGGAUGCCCUCCCCUUGUUUGUCUGCCUAGCAAAGUCUUGUGUUGUUUGUGUCACUGGAAAGACUGCCUCCCUGUGAGGUCUCCCCUGGCUUCUCUGGGCAGACUCAGGCACCUCUUUUGUUGUGCUUUAUCCAUGUUACUCCUGCAGCAUUUAUCAUAUCGUGUGGUCACUGCAGGUCUUUCUGCCCACUGGACUGUGGGCUUUGAGACCUGGAGUGUGGGGCGACACUGGAUUCCCUCCCAGAGUGACCGACUUGGGAGUCUUGCUGCACCCCCACCUCCCAGGGCCAUCAGAGGCAGGAGCAAGAUUCUCUGUCCUGGCUCACCUACCUCAUUAAACACGGGGUUCGGUUGGCUCCCAAUCCCUGCAUCAUCAGCAAGGGUGGACAGCUUCAGAACUAUGGCAUGGGAGUCCUUGGCCAAGCCACCACACCAAGGAAUUAAAGGCCUGGAGAGCCCUGCUUGGGCCAAUGCCAGGCCCUAGGGCCCAAGGUUGAGAUACUUUACCAGACAGGCAUCAGUUUCCUCAUCUGUGAAAUGGGAAAAAUGAACCUGGUCACCUUCCUCUUUCCUGGGAAGAGUAUGAAGUUAAUGAAUGCCCAAGACCGGAUGUGACUAUACCUAAGACUUAGUGCAAGCUGCCUGGAGGCAAGGGAAUGGCCUAGGUGACCCUAGGUUCUCUCCUGCUGCCCGGGACUGAAGGACAGUGCGAGACCCACAAUUCAGCUGUAGCUGCUCAUCUUGGUCCCCCACCCUUCCCUGGGUGGGUCUUGGCUUGGAAGCCCUAAUCUGCUUGCUAAGCACCAACCCCAUUUAUUCCAACCUAAAUUUGUCCAGCCUUGUGCCUUGCCUCUGCAGGGCUGUGUCCAGGCCAUAGCAGGAAAUUGGGUUUCUUCGUCCCUUCUCACAGAACUCCAUUCAUACUGCCCCUCCUCUAGGCAGCCUUCUCUUCUUAUCCUUGGGCGCGGUGGGCUCAUCUGCACUCCUGGCAUUUGUGAAGGGUUCGUGUCCUGGCUGUCCCCCAACUUCCGACCCCCACUCUAUCCUGAAGUAGAACUGGGACCAUAGAAUGUGGUUCUUGGAAAAGCGGGCUCCACCCAGUGGGGAAGAUGGAUGCAGCGCCCUGUUGCCAUGGCAACCAAAAAGCACCCCCGUGAGCCUCUUCAUUGGCCACUGUGCUCGAGAUCCCGCCUCCACCACCAGAAGGGACCAACUGGAGGCCGGGUGAUGGGACCCUGUUGGAGGAUUAGUGGGGGUGACACAUCUCGCUUCCUGUUCUGCCCGCGGGGAAACCCGCCGGCGCUUGAUCGCACUUCUCGUGGCCAUCGUGGCUUCGAUGGAGCUGUGUCCCGAGAGUCGGGGUGGGAGGUACGGGGAGGUGGGGAGCCUCUCGCAGGAGGUUUCCUCGGGCGGGCCUGGGGAGCCGCAGAGCUGGGUUGUUGGACUGGGGAGGAAGCCGUUCUUCUUCCCAGCAAUGCAGGUCGCCAGAGGCCUCGGGUGAGCUCAAUUCCCAGGCGCGAGAAGGCUCUGGCCGGCUUGGUGGUAGCCGGGGGGGAAAGUGGGAGGUGCGUUCCACCCCCGCCCCGGCACCCUGGCCUGCCCGGAAGGAAGGGUCGUGCCAAGCUCGGAGACUUGCACGGUUUCCUUUAGCAAAACUGCGUCAGACUCCGUCUGGGGGUAAACCGCCACUCACUGGUGACAGAGCCUUGAUUACAACAGAUCAGAAAGGGGAAACCGAGCCUUUCCCGCUUUCUCCGCCUUCUCCGGAAAGUUCCCUUUUCAGGAGACAACAGAUUGAAGAAGAUAGAGCCCGCCUUCGCGAGAAGGAGGGAGAGAGUGUUUGUAACUACUUUUGCUCUCUCAAAACCGCCUAAAAUUACCUCUGGAAGCCUCCGCUUAACAAUAACAGAACCAUUUAACCAAGCCUGAUUGGGGUUGAGACCCGGCAAGGAGCCACCUGAUGGGACAGCACUAACGUGCUCCAGCCAGAAUGGGCACUGGAUGUAGCAUCAGGCGGGACCCAAUCUCUGAGCCGGACAUUCCUCAUCUGUAAAACGGGCUUGAUUAGAGUGAGGAUUCGGAAAAAUAAUCAUGACACCCACUAGAACCUUUCUUGGUCAAACACACACCCCAACACAAAAACACCAGAGUUUCCAAGGGCCGCACACUCAGGGAGAAGCUUUUGCCCAGAUGCCCUUGCAGGUCACUCCCAGGGGCCAGAGUCAAAAUCAGUAACAAACACUUCUGGAGCAUGUAAAAAUUGAUGGGUUUUGAGUGCCUAACAAUAGUCAGGCUCUAUGUUGUGUUGAACCCUGAUCAACCCUUUUAAUCAUCCCAGAACAACCCUUCUUCUCUCCUGAAAAAUACUGUGGACUGUUAUCCCCAUUUUGUAGAGGAGCAAACUGAAGUUUGUAGAGAAGUUAAGAAAAUUCACCAUGGGGGCGCCUGGGUGGCUCAGUCGGUUAAGCAUCUAUCUGCCUUUGGCUCAGGUCAUGAUCCUGGAAUCCCCGGAUUGAGCACCACGUCAGGCUUCCUGCUGAGCAGGGAGUCUGCUUCUCCCCCUGCCCCUCACCCUGCUCAUGCUCUCUCUCUCUCUCAAAUAAAUAAAUAAAAUCUUCAUUAAAAAAAAAGGAAAGAGGGGCGCCUGGGUGGCUCAGUCGUUAAGCGUCUGCCUUCGGCUCAGGUCAUGAUCCCAGGGUCCUGGGAUCAAGCCCCACAUCGGGCUCCCUGCUCAGCAGGGAGUCUGCUUCUCCCUCUUCCUCUGCCUCUCCCCACUGCUCCCGCUCUCUCUCUCUCUGUCUCAAAUGAAUAAAUUUUAAAAAAAAAUUAUUAAAAAAAAAAUAAAUAAAUAAAAUCUUUAAAAAUAAUAAUAAUAAAUAAAUAAAUAAAAAUUUAAAAAAGGAAAGAAAGUUCACCAUGUGAAUUUCAGACUCUUUCUGAUGCAAAUGACAGAAAACCUGACUCAAACUGGUUUAUGCUAAAAAGGGAAUUUGCUGGCUCAGGAAACUGAAAAAUCCAGGCAUGACUUGAUCUGGAGACUCCAAAAUGUCAUAAAGACUGAAUCUCUCCACUCUGCCUUCACCAUCUUGGCGCCACAUUUGGGCUCCAUGAGUGGUCUUCUACGAGCAGCUCCAGGUUCAUAUCAUCCCGAGUCCUAGUUCUGUAUAAAAGAGGGUCUUAGUAAUUGCAACACGAGUCCCAGGAUUUACUCUAAUCACACAUGGCAGACGCUGGUUAGGGGGUCAUGUGACCACACUUACAUAAGACACUGCUGGGGAAGAAUCUGCACUGAUUGGCGGCCUGGUCACAUGCAGCCUCGUGGGUACCAAGGGGCUGAAAGGGAAGGAGGGAGGAAUGUUUCUCCCAAGGAGGAACAGAAAAGAUGGGGAAUGGGUGCUAGCGGCUAAUCUGACCUGUGUCUUCCACACUGAGGUCAUAAGGUGACACGGUUGAGAAGAGUUGGGGCGGGGACUGAGCCCUGGCCGUCAGACUCCAGAACCCACAACCCUAACUCCUCUACACCUUCCACUCUGCGUGCCAGCCUGCUACUAAGCACCUAGUAGAGAAAACGUGGAUGUGGAAGGUGAGGCCCUUGCCCUGGGAGAGAGCCCAGGCCUCCUUCAUUGGUCCCAGGUCACUCCUUAUCACAUCUGGUACCCAUCACCACCUCCCACCCUGGCUGUUAUCCCUGGAGGGUCCUGGAAGCCUCUCUGAUAGCUGGCCCUGGGCUAUUGCCUGCCAUGCUAUGGAAGGCCUUCCACAUCAGCUCUGGUUAUGCACUGUCCCGGGGUCUAGUUGCUUCCUGUUUCUCCAAGCAGAGGGGAGAUUCUUUGGGGACUAGGACUAUGUUCUCCCUUCUCCUGUAUGUGGUCCCUCUCUGGGACCAGGCAGAAUUUGUGCAGUAGGCAGCAACGGUGAUUUUGAGAGGCCCUAAGAAGGCCCUUUUCUACCCCUUUUGUACCUCCUUUACCAUAAAAAAAUUCCAUCAUUAGACAGGAUUUCACUCCUUCAAUUACCCUUAAGAUUCAAAUUCCCCUGAGAGAGGCAGUAUAGUAGGGCUUAACAUUCAUUCACACUAUAGUGAGAAGUAGCUCAUAGAAUAUUUCCUGAGGGGGGCACCUGGGUGGCUCAGUCGUUAAGCGUCUGCCUUCGGCUCAGGUCAUGAUCCCAGGGUCCUGGGAUCGAGCCCCGCAUCGGGCUCCCUGCUCUGCGAGAAGCCUGCUUCUCCCUCUCCGAUUCCCCUUGCUUGUGUUCCCUCUCUCGCUAUGUCUCUCUCUGUCAAAUAAAUAAAUAAAAUCUUAAAAUAAAAAAAAAAAAGAAUCUUUCCUGAGGGCAAGCUUUUUCAUCUUGGCCACCAUUCAUUGAGUGCCUACUAUGUGCUUUCCACUGAUUCAAGAGCAUCUCAUGCAUUAGCUCAUUUAAUCCUCACAACUCUGUGAAGUGGAUACUAGUGACCCCAUUUUACAGAUGAGGAAACUGAGGCCCAGAGAGGUUAAUGAUCAUGCCCAAGGUCUGCAAGCAGUGGAAGUCUGGUUCCAAAACCUACACUCUCCAUUACUCCACUGAGAUAAUCCCUAAGACUUUUCAGUGUUCUGAGAUCAGUUCUUCUCCCUGAGAACAGUUCUGAGAUCAGUUCUUCACACAGCACCCAGUGAGAGGAGCCUUGGGUCAGCUCCCUGGUGUCCUGGGAACAGAGGGAGAGUGUGGGGGGCAUGGAUGCUGGGAGCUGCCAGAACAAACCUGCUCCUUCUUCCCUUCUUCCUCUUCUCCCGCCCCCCCCUCCUUCUUUUCCUUCUCUUUCUCCCCUCCUUCCUCCCACGCAUCCAUGUAGCCGCCCACACACCUACUAGGGGUGAGGGCUACAGGUAAGCAAUGACCAAAACAAGUGUCCCUUGUGCUCUCACAGGUUUGAUAGUCUAAAAAACAAACAAACAGGGGCACCUGGUUGGCUCAGUUGGUGGAGCAUGUGACUCUUGAUCUCGGGGUCGUGAGUUCGAGCCCCACGUUGGGUGUAGAGAGUACUAAAAAUCAAUCAACCAAUCAAUCAAUAAGUAAAACAAAAAACACUUGCUAUUUCUUGAGUGUUUAUGGUGAGCAGGGCCCUGAGCUAGGUGCUGAAAACAUGCAUCAUCCCCAGAGCCCACUUUCUCAGGUGGGAGACUGGCACUUAGGAAGAGCUACAGGCAUUAUCUCAUUUAAUGACUCCAGACUGACUCCAGAGUCCCAGCAUCGCACCCUAGACUGGACUGCCCCCCUCUUGGGGUGUAGUGAGGAUCCAGUGGAUACUUAGACUGAGGAGUGCACACACACACACACACACAACCCUGGCUCUGUGACUCCAACAGCCAGCACCAGAGGCAGCCAUUUCUGCUGUCUCCAGCACCCUCCUUCCCACCAGGGGCCAGGCCCCACCCCAAACAGGAGUGGAGUGGGGAAAGGCCAUCUCCCAAGGAAAUGAUAGGCUGGCACCCCGAGACCUCUGAAUGGAAACCCGCAGGGAGAUUGAAUGAGCCUGAUCUAACCAGAGGUUCUGGAAGGAGACCUCACCCGCUCUCCCUGGGCAGCCUGUCAGCGUGAAGUCCUGGUGCCUUGGUUUCCUCUCCUAUAAAUUGGUUUGCUCACAGGCUGUGUCUGAAGUAUCACCCACCAGAAGCUUCCUUGAUCCAGCUCGUUGGGGAAGCUCCUUGCUUUCUGACUGGGUCCUUCCAGGUUCUUCACAGGGAUUGUAUUUCCCGUUUUACAGGUACGGAAACGAGGCUCCGAGAGGCUGACCCACAGCCACCUAAUGAGUGUUAGAAAUGCAAUGAGAACCCACCCAGGUUUUUAAUCUGUUGCUGCAACAAGUGUCUACUAAGCACUCAACUGAAUGCUGGCGUCUGAGCUAUGUCCAGGAGAUACAGCAGCGAGCAAGGGAGGCUUGUCCUACCUCCAGGAGAGUCCAUUUCAGUAGGGCUGACAGAUGAGAGGAAAUAUUAGAAAUGUUGGCAGGACAGGGUGACAAGAGCUAAGAGGCUUUUGGCAGGGCAAAGGACCUGGGGCCACCUCAGCUCCCACAUUUGGGAGGACCCAGCAGAGCAAAAGUCUGGGGGGCUGGGGAGGUGAAGUGGGAAAGGUUGGGGUCUUGGCCCAAGUAGGGUGUUAACUGGGAGGAGGAGUUGGAGCUGCCCCACCCCAAAAUACCCAGACUCCUCUCAGGCCUUGUACUGCCUGCCUGGAGUUUCCACCCCAACGGUUUCCUUGUCUGGGGUGCUUUCCAGCCCCACCUGCUUUCCUGGAGUCCAGUUCAUCUAACGCUCCUGCCAGGCAUGUACCUGGUGCCUAGUGUCACUCUGCGUAAUUCCAGAAACCCAGGUGUCCUCACCUGCUCCUGAUUCAGUUUGACUCACCCUCCUCAGUUCUGGAAGUUGGCUCUUGGCUGUUUUUACCUCAUGCUUGGGCAUCUGGGGCUCGUGGGAGCAGCAGAUCCUCCUUCCCACUCUUGAAGGUUAAACUGGUUGGUGUCAUGCAGGGGAAGUAGAGGAGCCCUGAGGAGGGAAACCUCAUCCACCCACGAUUAAUUUCCUCCCUCUACAACCCACUUCAGACAUCUCCUUUCCAGCGAUCACCAAUGUUCUUCCUGUUCUUUUUUUUUUUUUUUUAAGAUUUUUAUUUAUUCAUUUGACAGAGAGAGACAGUGAGAGAGGGAACACAAGCAGGGGGAGUGGGAGAGGGAGAAGCAGGCUUCCCGCCGAGCAAGGAGCCCGAUGUAGGGCUCCAUCCCAGGACCCUGGGAUCCUGACCGGAGCCGAAGGCAGACGCCUAAGCGACUGAGCCACCCAGGUGCCCCUCUUUUUUUUUUUUUAAGAUUUUAUUUAUUAAUUUGACAGAGAGAGAGAGACAGUGAGAGAGGGUACACGAGCAGGGGGAGUGGGAGAGGGAGAAGCAGGCUUCCUGCCAAGCAGGGAGCCCGAUGUGGGACUCGAUCCCAGGACCCUGGGAUCAUGACCUGAGCUGAAGGCAGACGCUUAACUGACUGAGUCACCCAGGCACCCUGUUCUUCCUGUUCUUAACAGGAAAAGGACAUUAUCUAGGAAGAAUAGCUAAUAUUUGAUUGUUUACUAGAAGCUGGGUACUUCUCACAACAUUCCAUUAUUUGUUAUUAUUUUCCUGAUGAAAAAAACUGAAGCUCAGAGAGGGGACCCAUCUUGUCUCAAGUCACACAGCAAGGAAUUGGCUGAAAUGGGAUUGGAACCCAGGUAUACUAGACUUCCAAGUGGUUUCACCAGGGACACACAUACCUGACCCCCACUCCAGCUGCCCACAGGUGGGAGAGGGAAGUUAGGGCUCAUUCCACCUGCCAAGCUUGAGCCUGCUCAGAUCCAACCUCAUGCACCCCCAGGAUCCUUUUGUGGUGGCGCUGGGGGGAUAGAAACUCUGAGAGGAGCCACCAUUUGCUCAACCCAGGGAUCUGAGGGCCAUUACUUCCCCCAUGGGAAGAAGCCCAGACCUAUAGAACUCCCAUAGGAAGCGCUCCCCAGAUGAAUGGGCCAGGUCUGUGCUGCUUGGUGGGAGUCAUGGCCAGUCAUCCCUCCUCAUUUUAGAUGGGCCCAGGCGUGCCACGGCAGCGUACCCCCUCCUUCCCUCCCACAGCUUGUCCCCAGUUGGCAUCCCUCCCACUGGACCUCCCCUCCCCAUCCUACCUUCACACCAGAUAAAGCUGUAUGGCCCAGAGCUGUGCUAACCAGUACGGUGGCCACUAGCCCCUUGUGGUUGUCGAGCACUUGAAAUGGGACUAGUGCUGCUGAGGAACCGAAUUUUAAAUUGUAUUUAAUUUUAAUCAAGUUACAUUUACAUUUUAAACUUGAUAAUGUAGUUGGGACGCCUGGCUGGCUCAGUUGGUAGAGUGUGCGACUCGAUUCUCAGGGUUGUAAAUUUGAGCCCCACAAUGGGUGUAGAGAUUGCUUAAAAAUAAAAUCUUAUAGGGGCGCCUGGGUGGCUCAGUUGGUUGAGCGACUGCCUUCGGCUCAGGUCAUGAUCCUGGAGUCCUGGGAUUGAGUCCCGCAUCGGGCUCCCUGCUGGGCAGGGAAUCUGCUUCUCCCUCUGACCCUCCCCCCUUUCAUGUGCUCUCUCUCUCUCUCAUUUAAAAAAAAAAUUAAAAUUAAAAAAUAAAAUAAAAUCUUAUAAAAAAAUAGAUAAUGUAGUUAUUGGAAAACAUUUAAGUAUGUGUGGAACACCUUGGGUAUGUGACUCUACUUAUGCAACCCAAAUUUUAUGAAAUCUAAACACAGAUCAUUUUCUGAUGAAAAUUUAGCAGGUAGUAGAAGUAUAAACCAAACACCAGGUUUUGAACGCUUAGUAAUAGAAAAUGUAAAAAUACCUCACUGAUAUUUUUUUACAUUGAUUACAUGUUGAAAUGCUAUUUUUUGUAUGUCAUAUUAAAUAAAAUAUUAAGAUUGAUUUCACCUGCUUAUCUUUUUAACGUAGCUACUAGAAAGUUUUUUGAUUAUUUAUGCGGCUCAU